Non-coding RNA from Rattus norvegicus (Norway rat), 69 nucleotides. NCBI's taxonomy places the organism in Eukaryota, Metazoa, Chordata, Mammalia, Rodentia, Muridae. The record is from Rfam.
GGGGAUUUAGCUCAGUGGUAGAGCGCUUGCCUAACAACCGCAAGGCCCUGGGUUCGGUCCCCAGCUCCA